CAUUGCUUUGCAGAUCCAACUUUUGUCUUUGCUCAAAUUUCUUCCCUCACAAAGGUCUCAUGAUUUUCCAGGGAUAUGCAUAGAUUCUGAGUACACACAGCCAACAACACAUCAUACUUCUGAAGCGGUAUUCCUUCUGGACUCCUCUGCCUCUAAUGAUGCUACAUAGUCUUCAGCAUGUAUAAAAUUUAUGCCUUUCCCAUUCUUAGUUUCUUCCCUUCCUGGACUGUAACUCCAGAUUUUAAUCUGACAUCCUCCUUCCUGAAGAUUUCUAUUUAUGGAUGA
This 285-nucleotide long non-coding RNA is filed under the name Monodelphis domestica (gray short-tailed opossum). RNAcentral's name for it is "lncRNA (ENSMODG00000037269.1)". Lineage: Eukaryota; Metazoa; Chordata; Mammalia; Didelphimorphia; Didelphidae. The record is from RNAcentral.